RNAcentral lists this non-coding RNA (86 nucleotides) under Halanaerobium hydrogeniformans. RNAcentral describes it as "Glycine sequence". It matches the Rfam family "Glycine riboswitch aptamer". Rfam says of the family: This family represents the bacterial glycine riboswitch. Lineage: Bacteria; Bacillati; Bacillota; Clostridia; Halanaerobiales; Halanaerobiaceae. The record is from Rfam by way of RNAcentral.
UUGAAGGCUGGGUGAGAGACCCUAAAAAGGGCGCCGAAGGAGCAAGGGGAACUGAAACUCUCAGGCAAAUAGAAUCCAGCUGGACG